This 1095-nucleotide long non-coding RNA is filed under the name Homo sapiens (human). RNAcentral's name for it is "HSALNT0104061". The stretch from base 65 to 317 matches the Rfam family "Metazoan signal recognition particle RNA". Lineage: Eukaryota; Metazoa; Chordata; Mammalia; Primates; Hominidae. The record is from RNAcentral.
AGGAGUUCGAGACCAGCCUGGCCAACAUGGCAAAACCCCGUCUCUACCAAAAAUACAAAAAUUAGCUGGGCGUGGUGGCGUGUGCCUGUAAUCCCAGCUACUCGGGAGGCUGAAGCAGGAGAAUUGCCUGAACCAGGGAGGCAGAGGUUGCAGUGAGCUGAGAUUGCACCACUGCACUCCAGCCUGGGCGACGAGAGUGAAACUCCGUCUUAAAAAAAAAGAAAGUCUUACUCUGUCGUCCAGGCUGGAGUGCAGUGGCACAAUCUCGGCUCACUGCAACCUCUGCCUCCCGGGUUCAGGCGAUUCUCCUGCUUCAGCCUCCCGAGUAGCGCAUGCCACCAUGCCCGGCUAAUUUUUGUAUUUUUGGUAGAGAUAAGGUUUCACCAUGUUGGCCAGGCUGGUCUGGAAAACUCCUGACCUCACGUGAUCCGCCCCCUCGGCCUCCCAAAGUGCUGGGAUUACGGGCGUGAGCCACCACACCCAGCAAAAAAAAAAAUUUGUUUUUACUCACCACUAUACUGACAAGGAACAGGUGAUUUUAAACAUCCCCUCCCACCUACAUUUUAGCUGGAACAAUUCUCCAGAGGCAUGGGGGUAGAGUGGGGUGGUGAGUUCUAGGCAGCAAGUUAACAAAUGACCCCUAAAGAUAUUCAUCUAGGCUCUAGGAGGCCCAAAAUCAGGCCCUGGCAGUUCCCCUGACGCAAAACCAUGGCAAGAGUUCCGGGAGCACCAAGGCAAGGUCACAAAAGUGGCACGAUGACCCUACCCUGGGAUGCAGCUCAGCCUGACCCAGCCCAACUCAACCCAGCUACCCUGGAGGCUGCUAUGAGCUGAGCCGGGAGCUGGGAAAGGGCCCAGCAUUCCUGUCCUUCUGCCAAAGCCGGCUUCUUAGGACCCCAGUGUUGUGGCUCCUCCUUUGGUCUUGGUUUCUUUCCCACCAGAUUAUAACUCCACCAGAGUAGGACUUUAUCUAUCUUGUGUACUGCUCUAUUUUCAGUGCCUAGAACUGUGCCUGUCAAUCAAUACAGGCUGCUGAAAAGGCUAGAAAUACAGGAUCGUUGAUGUCAUUACUGUUACAGUGCUGUUCCCGUGGGA